AGUGAACGCUGGCGGUAGGCCUAACACAUGCAAGUCGAACGGCAGCACAGUAAGAGCUUGCUCUUACGGGUGGCGAGUGGCGGACGGGUGAGGAAUACAUCGGAAUCUACUUUUUCGUGGGGGAUAACGUAGGGAAACUUACGCUAAUACCGCAUACGACCUACGGGUGAAAGCAGGGGAUCUUCGGACCUUGCGCGAUUGAAUGAGCCGAUGUCGGAUUAGCCAGUUGGCGGGGUAAAGGCCCACCAAGGCGGCGAUCCGUAGCUGGUCUGAGAGGAUGAUCAGCCACACUGGAACUGAGACACGGUCCAGACUCCUACGGGAGGCAGCAGUGGGGAAUAUUGGACAAUGGGCGCAAGCCUGAUCCAGCCAUACCGCGUGGGUGAAGAAGGCCUUCGGGUUGUAAAGCCCUUUUGUUGGGAAAGAAAAGCAGCAGGUUAAUACCCCGCUGUUCUGACGGUACCCAAAGAAUAAGCACCGGCUAACUUCGUG
This 492-nucleotide ribosomal RNA is filed under the name uncultured bacterium. Its description in RNAcentral is "partial 16S ribosomal RNA". It matches the Rfam family "Bacterial small subunit ribosomal RNA", at positions 29 to 507 of the family's 1533-position model. The record is from RNAcentral.